ACGUCGUUGGCGAGGCGCAGGGCGUCUUCGGUGGUGUCGAAGGGAAUCACGGUCAGGACCGGGCCGAAGAUCUCCUCCUGGGCGAUGCGC
This 90-nucleotide transfer RNA is filed under the name Deinococcus knuensis. RNAcentral's name for it is "tRNA-Thr". Lineage: Bacteria; Thermotogati; Deinococcota; Deinococci; Deinococcales; Deinococcaceae. The record is from RNAcentral.